Long non-coding RNA from Sceloporus undulatus (fence lizard), 376 nucleotides. RefSeq lists it as uncharacterized. The transcript has 2 exons. The record is from RefSeq and is a predicted model, not a curated record. Lineage: Eukaryota; Metazoa; Chordata; Lepidosauria; Squamata; Phrynosomatidae.
GUUUGUCAGCAACUGACCUGUGGCCUGCCCCCAAGAAUGAUGACCGCUACCUCAUAACCAAAGAUACCUGGAUUGAGAGGUGGCCAGAUGAUGAUGAAUGCCAAGAUGAAAAUUUGGAAGACUUAUGCAAUGACUUCAUUCGGUUUUCCCAUACAUUGACAUUUUUGGGCUGCCAGGUCUAACUGGAGAGGAGUCAACUACACUGUGUUACUCAUGUAAGGCUGGUUUUUUGAGCUGAUGCUCAGAAGACACCUUCCCUCCUUGUUUUCUCUUCUUUCUUUCUUUCUUUCUUUCUUUCUUUCUUUCUUAUUUUUUGCUCUCCAUUUCCCCCCUUCCAAAUGGUUUGUGUAUAAAAAUAAAGGUCUGAUUUCUUUUA